UGACUCCUUGAGAGUCCUGAAGGAAUGUUGAAGACGACGACGUUGAUAGGCCGGGUGUGUAAGCGCAGCGAUGCGUUGAGCUAACCGGUACUAAUGAACCGUGAGGCUUAACCUU
RNAcentral lists this ribosomal RNA (115 nucleotides) under Escherichia coli. RNAcentral describes it as "partial 23S ribosomal RNA". It matches the Rfam family "Bacterial large subunit ribosomal RNA", at positions 2808 to 2925 of the family's 2925-position model. The record is from RNAcentral. Lineage: Bacteria; Pseudomonadati; Pseudomonadota; Gammaproteobacteria; Enterobacterales; Enterobacteriaceae.